GAUGAACGCUGGCGGCGUGCUUAACACAUGCAAGUCGAGCGGACAGGCGAGGAUCUUGCUCCUCUCACGUGAGCGGCGGGCGGGUGAGUAACACGUGGAUACCCUACCUAUAAGACUGGUAUAACUACGGGAAACCGGAUCUAACACCGGAUAAGAUGGUGAACCACAGGGUUCAACAGUCAAAGACGGUCUUGCGGUCACGUAUAGAGGCUUCCGAGCCGGAUUAGCUAGUUGGUACGUUAACGGCUUACCAAGGCUAGGAUGCGUAGCCGACCUGAGAGGAGGAUCGGCCACACUGGAACUGAGACACGGUCCAGACUCCUACGGGAGGCAGCAGUAGGGAAUCUUCGGCAAUGGGCGGAAGCCUGACGCAGCAACGCCGCGUGAGAGAAGAAGGCCUUCGGAUCGUAAACCGCUGUUAUUAGGGAAGAACAACUGUGGACGUAAACAUGGAGGGCUUGACGGUACCUGAUGAAAAAGCACCGGCUAACUACGUG
RNAcentral lists this ribosomal RNA (497 nucleotides) under uncultured bacterium. RNAcentral's name for it is "partial 16S ribosomal RNA". It matches the Rfam family "Bacterial small subunit ribosomal RNA", at positions 28 to 507 of the family's 1533-position model. The record is from RNAcentral.